This 1726-nucleotide long non-coding RNA is filed under the name Ornithorhynchus anatinus (platypus). Its description in RNAcentral is "lncRNA (ENSOANG00000045513.1)". The record is from RNAcentral. Lineage: Eukaryota; Metazoa; Chordata; Mammalia; Monotremata; Ornithorhynchidae.
AUUUGUUAAGUGCUUACUAUGUGCAGAGCACUGUUCUAAGCAAUGGGGGAGAUACAGGGCGAUCAGGUUGUCCCACGUGGGGCUCACAGUUUUAAUCCCCAUUUUACAGAUGAGGUAACUGAGGCCCAGAGAAGUUAAGUGACUUGCCCACAGUCACAGAGCUGACAAGUGGCAGAUCUGGGAUUCGAACCCAUGACCUCUAACUCCCAAGCCCAGGUUCUUUCCACUGAGCCAUGCUGCUUCUCUACUACAAAAAGAACCCUUUGGCCUCAGUCACCAGGCUAUAUCAGAUGAAAGUGUAUUUCAGUGGCCUGAAUUACCCAGAUAGUUUGCGUGUAUAAAUCCAACGAUGAUCUCAGAGAAAUCAAAGGAGGUUAACACUGCCCCAAGCGAGUCAGAAUGGCCUAAAUGACUGCAUAAUUGAAAAACGGCUUUUUUCCCUUUUAGAAUCUUUGACCCCUGAGACUCAUUCCUAACCACCAAGUUCCUCUUCAAUGUCUCUCCCUUCUUCUUGCCAGACUCCCAGAUGAAUUCCGUGUCCCUCGUCCAGCAGACUUACCCUUCUCUCUUCCUCUGGCAGGUGGCAGAGAGUUCCUGGAAAUGAAAUCUUCUGGAGAGAAGCAGAUACCCACAAAAUGAAGCUCCUUCUUUGGGCCUGCCUCAUGUGCAUUGUUUUGGCCAAGAAGAGGCAACAUUCUUCCUCCAGUGAAGAGGACCAUGACCACAGACCACCACCACCAGCGAGGCCUUCUGGAUCGGAUCAUGAACCCCCCUUCCAUCCUAGGGCCCCCUGUCCAGCGGUUCCCCCUCCACCUCCACCAGCCCCUGGCCCUCCGGCACCCCCUGCCCCUCCAGCACCCCCUGCCAUCCCAGAACCCGUGGCUCCCCCUGCCCCUCCAGCUCCCCCUGCCCCUCCAGCACCCCCUGCCAUCCCAGAACCCGUGGCACCCCCUGCCCCUCCAGCUCCCCCUGCCAUGCCAAGACCUGGGGAACCCCCUGCCCCUCGAGCCCCUGAAAUGCUUCUUGCUAAUCCAGCCCCAGAAGCUCUCACGGUGGAGUAGUGUCAUUACCAUGGCUGAAUAAAGCUGGAAAACCUGAUUUUUCAUUCAGAUUUUACACUUUGGUGGCUUUUGAGUAAAUCCCCUCUGCGUAUGCACUCUGGCUUUGGGUGUCUGUUUUCCCACACAGGGAUCCCUGGUUGGAGAGAAGAUUUGAAUUUCACAAGCCCAGAGAAGAAAAAAUAUAUAUAAAUGUGGACAAGGAUUCUGCAGAUUUUCUGUUCCACAUCUCUUCCUUCUGGCAAAAAUGUGCCUAAAGCCUUUGGAAGCAGCUGAUCUCAGGCUAGGACUCAGAAGCAAACCACCUUCCCAGGGAACCCUACUUCCCUUAAAUCAUUUCCUCAACUUAUUCUCCUUUUUUCAUCACUUAAUUAUCAUACAGAAAGGAGUUGGCAUCCUGCAAUUACUGAGCCAACAGUUGAGAUCAGCUGCUAUUCCAAUAUGAAGUAUGAGAAAACCAAACUCGGCAAUCCAUCAGAGUUGCAAAAAGCCAUAGCUUGGAUCAUGAUGGGCAUUUUCCAAAAUACUGAGUUAUACUUUCAGUGAAAAGAAGACACUGAGCUGUUGACAUGGUAAAAAAAAACAUAGAAGUAUUGAUGAUGUAGGCUAGAAAUAUACUUCUAGGCUUUAAAAAUAUGUAUAAGAGAGACUUGAGAAAUAAAAAGCUG